Molecule: ribosomal RNA, 245 nt
Filed under: uncultured bacterium
Lineage: Bacteria
Description: partial 16S ribosomal RNA
Rfam family: Bacterial small subunit ribosomal RNA
Source: RNAcentral
GUGGCGACCGGCGCACGGGUGCGUAACGCGUAUGCAACCUACCUUUAACAGGGGCAUAACACUGAGAAAUUGGUACUAAUUCCCCAUAACAUUCGAGAAGGCAUCUUCUUGGGUUAAAAACUCCGGUGGUUAAAGAUGGGCAUGCGUUGUAUUAGCUAGUUGGUGAGGUAACGGCUCACCAAGGCAACGAUACAUAGGGGGACUGAGAGGUUAACCCCCCACAUUGGUACUGAGACACGGACCAA